AGUGAACGCUGGCGGUAGGCCUAACACAUGCAAGUCGAACGGCAGCACAGUAAGAGCUUGCUCUUACGGGUGGCGAGUGGCGGACGGGUGAGGAAUACAUCGGAAUCUACUUUUUCGUGGGGGAUAACGUAGGGAAACUUACGCUAAUACCGCAUACGACCUACGGGUGAAAGCAGGGGAUCUUCGGACCUUGCGCGAUUGAAUGAGCCGGUGUCGGAUUAGCUAGUUGGCGGGGUAAAGGCCCACCAAGGCGUCGAUCGGUAGCUGGCCUGAGAGGAUGAACGGGCACAUUGGGACUGAGAUACGGCCCAGACUCAUACGGGAGGCAGAAGUGGGGAAUAUUGUACAAUGGGCGGACGCCUGAUGAAGCAACGCCGCGUGCGGGAUGACGGCCUUCGGGUUGUAAACCGCUUUCGCCUGUGACGAAGCGUGAGUGACGGUAAUGGGUAAAGAAGCACCGGCUAACUACGUG
Molecule: ribosomal RNA, 472 nt
Filed under: uncultured bacterium
Lineage: Bacteria
Description: partial 16S ribosomal RNA
Rfam family: Bacterial small subunit ribosomal RNA
Source: RNAcentral